Molecule: long non-coding RNA, 758 nt
Organism: Taeniopygia guttata (zebra finch)
Lineage: Eukaryota; Metazoa; Chordata; Aves; Passeriformes; Estrildidae
Source: RefSeq, a predicted model, not a curated record
GGUCCCGCUUCAGGUAGCGCGCCAGGUACCGCACAUGGAGGUGCUCAAGGCCAGGUUGGGCAGGACUCCGAGCAACCCGGGCUGCGCAAGGUGCCCCUGUCCGGCAGGGCGUUGGAUCGAGGGACUGCAGGGUCCCUGCUGAGCAGACCGUGCCUGAGGGGUGGCAGCCCCUCCGGACGGGCGCACCGUGUGCGGUGCUCUGCGGGGCACAGCCCACGGGGUCAGUUUCGGCCUUGCAGAUCUCUCUUGUAGCUCCUUUCUUCUUUUGGCCCGUUCAGGCUCCUCGUCUUCACCUCUGCCGGUGCCCUGUCGCUCCUGAGCCGCACGGGGAGCAGGGACACAGCGGCUGCUCCCGGGAAGCUCCGGCCAGAGCUCCUGCGGCGCUUCUCUUGACACGGGGCAGGUGCGAUCCAAGCACCAACGCGCCCUGUGUGCUGGUUUAUAAUGUGACUAGAAGACCUGGACAGCAGUGGAAACAAUGGUGCUGGUGCUGAAACAAUGCAUAUGCACAGCAAGAGCAGAUGCACGGAGCUCCUCACUGCUGGUCACUGAGCUGAGCACAGCAGGAAAAAAGGCUCCGACAUAAUCCUAAACUGAUUAAAACAUAAUAUACUUACUCUCUACAGUGCUGAUGUGGUAAAAAUGAAGAACAUUGGUUCAAAGUAUGUGGUUUGAGACCGAAAUAUCUUCCUGCCUAGGGAAUUCACACAGGAUGUAGACAGGAAGGAUAUUGUCAGUAAAGCAGAUGAUAACAAAAA